Gossypium arboreum is the source of this 531-nucleotide long non-coding RNA. RefSeq lists it as uncharacterized. NCBI's taxonomy places the organism in Eukaryota, Viridiplantae, Streptophyta, Magnoliopsida, Malvales, Malvaceae. The transcript is spliced from 3 exons. The record is from RefSeq and is a predicted model, not a curated record.
UAUUUAAUUUAUUUUAUUUUAUUUUCUCCAAGAAUCUCUUUUCUUUUUCACGUAUCUCACAUUCUCCCUAUUCCCCUUUUUCUACCUUUUUUUUUGUUUCUUCUUUCUUUGUUCGGCCAUAAUAUAUUUUCCUUCUCCCUUGUUGGUUCCUAUUUUGUCAAGAACUCAUCUUUUACUCUUUGUUUCUCCAAAUUCAAUCUAUAUUGGGGUGUGAUUUUUGCUAUCGUCUUAUCGUGUGAAGAUUUUGGGACUAACGAUCUUCCGAUGAGUUAAAUUUCAGUGGAAGCUGUUUUUUCGUUUCUGGGCUUUAAUGCUGGUGUCGUUUGUUUCUAAUGAAACUAGACUCAAAAUGGAAUCUGUACAUAUAAGGUAUGUCUCCUAAUUCUUUUUGGAUAAUUUAUAGUGAAUUUUUAAAGUUGCGACAGGGAACCCAGAAACCAUUCUGGCCCUGUCUCACAAUAGCUUUAAUAUCUCUUAACCUGUAACUCCUAUGACCAUUUCGUUUCUUCCAUAUGAAAAUAGACUCAUCAA